AGAGUUUGAUCAUGGCUCAGAAUCAACGCUGGCGGCGCGCCUAACACAUGCAAGUCGAACGAGAAAGCAGGAGCAAUCUUGUGAGUAAAGUGGCGUACGGGUGAGUAACACGUGGAUUAUCUACCUCUUUGUGGGGGAUAACCCUGGGAAACCGGGGCUAAUACCGCAUAAGUCCGAGAGGAGAAAGCAGCAAUGCGCAGAGAGAGGAGUCCGCGGCCGAUUAGCUAGUUGGCAGGGUAAAAGCCUACCAAGGCUAAGAUCGGUAGCCGGCCUGAGAGGGCACACGGCCACACUGGCACUGAAACACGGGCCAGACUCCUACGGGAGGCAGCAGUGGGGAAUCUUGCACAAUGGGGGAAACCCUGAUGCAGCGACGCCGCGUGAGCGAUGAAGCCCUUCGGGGUGUAAAGCUCUUUCGGCAGGGAAGAUUAUGACGGUACCUGCAGAAGCAGCUGCGGCUAACUACGUGCCAGCAGCCGCGGUAAUACGUAGGCAGCAAGCGUUGUUCGGAGUUACUGGGCGUAAAGGGUGUGUAGGCGGUCCCCUAAGUUUGGUGUGAAAUCUCCCGGCUCAACUGGGAGGGUGCGCCGAAAACUGGGGGGCUAGAGUGCGGGAUGGGUAAGUGGAAUUCCUGGUGUAGCGGUGAAAUGCGUAGAUAUCAGGAGGAACACCUGUGGUGUAGACGGCUUACUGGACCGCAACUGACGCUGAGACACGAAAGCGUGGGUAGCAAACAGGAUUAGAUACCCUAGUAGUCC
RNAcentral lists this ribosomal RNA (758 nucleotides) under uncultured bacterium. RNAcentral describes it as "bacterial SSU rRNA". It matches the Rfam family "Bacterial small subunit ribosomal RNA", at positions 8 to 796 of the family's 1533-position model. The record is from RNAcentral.